ACAGAUGGGGGAUCAUCGGCCAGCAGCCGGUGGUGAUGACUGCCAUCAGAAAAUCCAAGAAAAUAGAUAGACAUGAAGGUAAAAAUAGGGGAAAUUAAUUCGAGCCCCUUUUGACAAAAAUCGAUGACUAAUAUCCAUGGGCUGAGAAAGAUGAAGAGAAGGAUAGAGAGAGAUUCUUAUCCUUUUUCCAGUGAUCUAUGGCCUUGAUUCUGGUGGCAUGAGGAAGGUCAUACAAAAAUAUUAAAAGGGAAAAACAAGAGAGAAAAAUAGUGAGGGAGAG
RNAcentral lists this long non-coding RNA (280 nucleotides) under Elaeis guineensis (African oil palm). RNAcentral describes it as "long non-coding RNA (EGUI_LNC059619)". The record is from RNAcentral. Lineage: Eukaryota; Viridiplantae; Streptophyta; Magnoliopsida; Arecales; Arecaceae.